RNAcentral lists this ribosomal RNA (1384 nucleotides) under metagenome. RNAcentral's name for it is "bacterial SSU rRNA". It matches the Rfam family "Bacterial small subunit ribosomal RNA". The record is from RNAcentral.
CGGAACGUACCCAUUUGUGGGGGAUAACUAUCCGAAAGGAUAGCUAAUACCGCAUAAGUCCUGAGGGAGAAAGCAGGGGAUCGCAAGACCUUGCGCGAAUGGAGCGGCCGAUGCCGGAUUAGCUAGUUGGUAGGGUAAAGGCCUACCAAGGCGACGAUCCGUAGCGGGUCUGAGAGGAUGAUCCGCCACACUGGAACUGAGACACGGUCCAGACUCCUACGGGAGGCAGCAGUGGGGAAUUUUGGACAAUGGGCGCAAGCCUGAUCCAGCCAUUCCGCGUGAGUGAAGAAGGCCUUCGGGUUGUAAAGCUCUUUCGGCAGGAACGAAACGGUGGGGGCUAAUACCCCCUGCUAAUGACGGUACCUGAAGAAGAAGCACCGGCUAACUACGUGCCAGCAGCCGCGGUAAUACGUAGGGUGCGAGCGUUAAUCGGAAUUACUGGGCGUAAAGCGUGCGCAGGCGGUUAUGUAAGACAGAUGUGAAAUCCCCGGGCUUAACCUGGGAACUGCGUUUGUGACUGCAUAACUCGAGUGUGGCAGAGGGGGGUGGAAUUCCACGUGUAGCAGUGAAAUGCGUAGAGAUGUGGAGGAACACCGAUGGCGAAGGCAGCCCCCUGGGUCAACACUGACGCUCAUGCACGAAAGCGUGGGUAGCAAACAGGAUUAGAUACCCUGGUAGUCCACGCCCUAAACGAUGCGAACUAGGUGUUGGAGAAGGAGACUUCUUUAGUACCGCAGCUAACGCGUGAAGUUCGCCGCCUGGGGAGUACGGUCGCAAGAUUAAAACUCAAAGGAAUUGACGGGGACCCGCACAAGCGGUGGAUGAUGUGGAUUAAUUCGAUGCAACGCGAAAAACCUUACCUACCCUUGACAUGCCAGGAACUUGGUAGAGAUACCUUGGUGCCCGAAAGGGAGCCUGGACACAGGUGCUGCAUGGCUGUCGUCAGCUCGUGUCGUGAGAUGUUGGGUUAAGUCCCGCAACGAGCGCAACCCUUGUCAUUAGUUGCCAUCAUUUAGUUGGGCACUCUAAUGAGACUGCCGGUGACAAACCGGAGGAAGGUGGGGAUGACGUCAAGUCCUCAUGGCCCUUAUGGGUAGGGCUUCACACGUCAUACAAUGGUCGGUACAGAGGGUUGCCAAGCCGCGAGGUGGAGCCAAUCCCAGAAAGCCGAUCGUAGUCCGGAUCGGAGUCUGCAACUCGACUCCGUGAAGUCGGAAUCGCUAGUAAUCGUGGAUCAGCAUGUCACGGUGAAUACGUUCCCGGGUCUUGUACACACCGCCCGUCACACCAUGGGAGUGGGUUUCACCAGAAGUAGGUAGCCUAACCGCAAGGAGGGCGCUUACCACGGUGGGAUUCAUGACUGGGGUGAAGUCGGAACAAGGUA